ACCCAGUCAGGAAUUUUUUCAAUGGGUGAAGCACUGACUCAGCAACUCCUCGUGAGUGAAGAAGGCCCACGGGGUGGUUAAACUCCGUCAUUGGGAGGAAAUAAAUUUUUUUUAAUAGAGGGUUGGAAUUGACGGUACCCGCGGAGGAAGCCCCGGCUAACUCCUUGCCAGCAGCCGCGGUAAUACGGGGGGGGCGAGCGUUAUUCGGAAUUAUUGGGCGUAAAGGGAGCGUAGGCGGUUUUUAAGUCAGAUGUGAAAGCCCGGCGCUCAACCCCGGAAGGGCAUUUGAAAACAGCAAGACUUGAGUAUGGGAGAGGGAAGGUGGAAUUCCUGGCGUAGAGGGGAAAUUCGUAGAUAUCUGGAGGGAACACCCAUGGCGAAGGCAG
This 386-nucleotide ribosomal RNA is filed under the name uncultured bacterium. RNAcentral describes it as "partial 16S ribosomal RNA". It matches the Rfam family "Bacterial small subunit ribosomal RNA", at positions 349 to 724 of the family's 1533-position model. The record is from RNAcentral.